Boleophthalmus pectinirostris (great blue-spotted mudskipper) is the source of this 437-nucleotide long non-coding RNA. RefSeq lists it as uncharacterized. NCBI's taxonomy places the organism in Eukaryota, Metazoa, Chordata, Actinopteri, Gobiiformes, Gobiidae. The record is from RefSeq and is a predicted model, not a curated record. The transcript has 3 exons.
GGAAAACCAAUAGACCAACAGAAGAUCCAACUGCUGCUGAUGACUGUGAAACUCCAGAGUGUGAAAACGAGCGUCUUGCUGCAGUGAAGGAGUGUGCAGACUGCACUUACCAGAGCCUCUGUGUGGACAACAUGGACCCAAACCAAACCUACACUUCCAUCCGAGACCAAGUGAUUUAAUGGACAUUUAUUAGGCUAGAAUUGUCAAAUCUUGUCAAAAUCCUGGUGUAUUAUGGAUAUUGGAGGGGAGUAAUCUGAAUGUAGCUCAUGUCAUUACACUUUUACUACUGUACAGGCUGAAGGGCAAAAAUACCCACAGACAAGGGUGGAAAGUAACAAAUUACAUUUCCUCCCAUUACUGUAAUUGAGUAGUUUUUUAUGAAUAAUUUGUAAUUUUUUAAGUAGUUUUUGAAAUAAAUGUUACUUCAUGACAUUGGA